RNAcentral lists this long non-coding RNA (861 nucleotides) under Homo sapiens (human). Its description in RNAcentral is "HSALNT0400096". The record is from RNAcentral. Lineage: Eukaryota; Metazoa; Chordata; Mammalia; Primates; Hominidae.
CUGGGACUGAUUGUCUUCAAGCUGAGCACACACUGAGCACUGGGCCUGCCUUCUUCCUAACACAGACCUCAGUCUACUGACAGCAUGAACAGAAAGAGAGGGUCUCUUUCUGCUGGUGCUUCGGUUUGAGAACCAGUGCUCCUGACUUUGGUUGGCCAUUGGUGUCUGUCUGAAGAGGGUCUCCACUGCCCCCAGGCAUGUUCCUUCUCUCACUGCUGCCCCCUGGGAUGGAAACUCGACAUCCCCUCUUUCCCUUCCUACUGGCACCAACGGUACCAGAGCAAACCCCACAAUCUCCAUGCCUACAUUUCUUUGACAUCCACCUGUCACCAUCUUUGGAGGAUUCAAGUGAAGUUCUUUGUCUUUUAUGGGACAGAGAUGAUUCUCCACUCCAGAGGGUCUGGAGUGAUUAUAGGAAUGUAAUCGCCUUGAACAAUCAGCGUGUUUUACAGCCUACUGCCCUGCAUUUUGUGUGGAAUGCAGUUGUCUUAUUGCUUGGAACCAGCUCUCAGUAGACCUCAGCAGCUUAUAGACAAACCCGAGUGAACUUUCCUCAUGACCAUGCUAGUGUCUCCAUCCUGGGAUGAGCCACAGCUUCAUCACCAUAACAUGCAACCUAUGUGCUGGUGUGAUGACUCGCUGUGUCUGCACCACUGAGGCUCCUCCUCCACAUGCCAUGACGCGUCCUCUCUUCUCUCCAUCUCCCCAUGAAGUCCUCCUGUCACUUUCCCUCAGGGAGACAUGGCUUUGGAGAGUACUCCCAACAGCAUGCUUAUUUGUGCCAAGUAAUAAAACUCCUGUUGAUCAAACCUACAGUCUCAAGGAGAUUGAUUUCUUACUUGCCAAGCAAAAGAACCUGGG